CCUCCUUGUCUUCUACUUCCUGUUCUUUCUAUUAAUUUGCUUUCCUAUUUUUCUUUAAUAUCACCAUAUAAAUACAAGAUCUUUAUACAAUUUUGCUUGUUAUUAACUAGUUUUUCUUUUAUCUUUUUUAUUAUCAGAACAUAUUGUGAUAGAUCAAAGGAAAAGCCUCCCUCAGGAAGUGGCUCACAACACAACAAAAUUCUCAGAAUUCAUCAGAGCCAGAGGAGAGUUGAAUUUACACAGGAGUUAUUGUGCUCUGAUAAUAGAUCGAAUGCUUUUGAAGAUGAUAAGAAAACUCAAGGACUCGAUGCUUCCAUUUCUUUGAUGAUCCACUGACAAUCAUCUUCUAAUUCCCAAGUUUUUGUUGCCCUUUGCUUCAUCCGUAAAAGAAAGAAAAAAAAAAUGUAAUUCUUCUUCUCAUGCAUUCACCAAACUUCCCAUUUUUGUCUCUGGUGAGAAAUCAUUUUUGCAGUUAAGGCUGUAGAAAAUGCAAUAAACUUAUUAUUUGAAGUCUUCUUGUAGUCCAACUCAUGGUUCUCCUUUCCUGGACAGCAAAACGGAUCGGUCAAGGUGGAUUCGGAUGAUCCAUUUUUUUGUUUAUUUAAAUUUGUUAGUUAUAUUUUAAUUAUUUUGAGUUUUCCCUUUUAAAUAGUGUUUGAAAUUAAUUAUAAUAAUUAAAAAUAUUCUAAAAAUAAUAAUUCACAUUAAAAAUAAAUAAAACUUUUAUGUAAAUGUUGGAUCCAGAAGAGACCAAUAAUAAUUCUUUUAUAUAAAUUAUUUGAUUGACUUUAGAUUGGCUGCUAGUUUGAAAAAAGGGAUUUGAAUUCAGUAGUAAACAGCCAGAGAAAAUGUUCUCAAUAUAAAUUCGAUUAAUAUAAUAAAUAUGUGAAUUUGGUCUGAAUUUAAUUAAAAUUUACUUUAAAUUAUUAAGACUCAUCCUAAAUUUCAUUAUACCAACAAAAAUAAUAUUCUCUUUAAGAAAAUGCUCUUUCAACGUAGCUGUAGCCACUAAUAAGAGUAAUGAUAAUAUAUACAAUAUAUUUUCUUGUAAUUACCGUAUUUUCAACAAAAAUUCUAAUUUUUUCACAUAAAACAACUUCUUGUUCAUUUGCAUAUUAAAAAGAAAGUUCUCAAGUUGAGUUUCAAGUUCAAUUAAAACAAUUAAAGAAAAUUCACAUGUAUUCAUAUCAAAUACAGAGAAUGAGUUUUUAGAAUUAAGACAUACCAUACAUAAAAAUAAAUUGUAUUCACUUUAUUAAAACGAUUAUUAAGUUUUUGGAACUACAUAUCAAUAAUAGAGUAAAAUAGUUUAACAUAAAAUGAAAAUUUAUUAUCUUUUCGGUUUUUCUUCUUGAUCUCCUUCUCAUUAUGUAUAAUCGUCCAUAUCUGAUACAACUAUAUCAUAUUUACCACAAAAUUACACUAUUUUAAGUAGUAAAGAUUUCCGACCAUCCUUUCCUAUAAUUUGUAAGCGGCGUUUAGAACUUUCCUAUAAUUUGUAAGCGGCGUUUAAAAAUUUUAACUAACUGCAUAACAUUUACAAUUAUGUAUAAUCGUCCAUAUCUGAUACAACUAUAUCAUAUUUACCACAAAAUUACACUAUUUUAAGUAGUAAAAAUUUCCGAUCAUUCUCUCCUAUAAUUUAUAAGCAGAGUUUAGAACUUUUCUAUAAUUUAUAAGCGGCGUUUAAAAAUUUUAACUAACUGCUUAACAUUUACAAUAUCUUUGCAAAACUUGUGAUAAGACUAUUACCAUACUAAUUCAUCCAUAAAGCCGUAUCUGACCAAAGUUUAAACGGUUACCCAUUAAAAAAUAUUUAAAAUUUAUUUAAUUUUUUUAAUUUUAGUUAGAUAUAAAUUAUUACCCGUAAAAAAUAUAUUUAAUAUUUACAUAAUUUUUCUAAUCUUUAAGUAGAUAUAAACUAUUAUUCAUAAAAAUUAUAUUUAAUAUUUACAUCAUUUUUUAAAUUUUUAUUACACAAAAUUAUUAUUCAUAAAAAUAAUAUUUAAUAUUUACAAAAUUUUUAAUUUUGAGUAGAUUAAAUUAUUACCCAUAAAAAUAUUAUUUAAAAUUUAUACUAUUUUACUAAUUUUGAUUAGAUUCAAUUAUUAUCCAUAAAAAUAAUUUUUAAAAUUUAUACAAUUUUUUUAAUUUUAAGUAAACUAAAUUACUACCUAUAAUAAUAAUAGUAUUAAUAAUUAAGUGAAAUAAACAAUAAUAAAUUAACAAUAUAAUAAAAUAAAUAAAAAUAUAAAUUAAUUCUUAACAAUAUAAAAAAAAUAAGAGAGAAAGAUGGAUAAUGAAUAGUGGAUUUUAAAAAAAAUAAAACUUAUGAAAUAAAAUGAAAUUUGUUGAAUAAAAAUUGAAAGGCGAAAGAAAAUGAGAUGGUGGAGGCUGUUGUAAAAGUGAGAAAUAUAAAAAAAAAUUUAAAAAUUUCAGAAAACUCAUGGCUACCUUUGACUUCAUGUUGGACCCGUUGCUCGUUCUGAUUUAAAAACUAAAAAUAAUUAAAAUAGUAAAUAUAAAAUCAGUUCAAUAUACAUGGUUCAAUUUUUAAAAUAAAGAUUUUUUUCGAUCUGAAUAUAAUUCAAUUUAAGAUCUUAAAAACUGUAUACAAUCCUAAAACUCAUUGUGAAUGAUGGUUAGGCAUUGAAAAUAGACAAUGUAAACUUGAGUCAUAUAUUCAGAUCAGUUGAAAUAUUCAGCUACACGAAACAAUAAAAAAGGAAAGGCAGAUGGGAAUUGACUUGAGUCUUCUAGAGAAGCUAAUUCAUCAGCCUGUAAAAAAAUUAAAAUUACUUAGAAAAAAAAAUUAAGAGUAAAAAAAUCGAUAUUUUAUAUAUAAUAAAAAUUGAGUAUUCAGAUUUUUUAAAUUUAAGAAUCGGACCAAUUUUAUGUUCAAUAAAAGUAUUUAAAUUUUUAAUUUUGGUAAUUAAAUCAAAUUUAAAAGAAUUAUUGUUGAAACUCAUUAAAUUUUAUUUUUUUAAUGGAGGAUCAAUCUUCAUACUAAAAUUUUUUUAAAAAAUUAAAAAUUUGAAGAGCCAUGACCACCCCAAUGUGUAUGUGGGACUGUGGGUUCCCCCUUACCAACCUUAAGCCGCGUGAAAGAGUGUCUUCUACGUUGACGUGUGUGACCAUCUUUCACUUGUGUGACCAUCUUUCACUAAUGCCUCCGUCUCCUCUUCUUUCCAUUAAUUUACUUUAGGGAAUUUAUUAUUUUAUUUUUUAAUAUAUAAAGAAAAUCUCAUUCCAUUUCAAAAAAAAAAAAGUCAUUAGUUAUUUUUUUAUUAUAAAAAAAACAUUCAUCAGAUUUUAAAAGAAUUAAUUAAUUAAUUAUUAUAUUAAUUUUAACUAUUAUUUAAUUAUUUUAAUAUAUAAAAAUUUAUUAAUUAAUUUAUCAAUUUUAUAAAAAUAUUUACGAGUUAAUAUCUUUAUAUUAAAGAUAUUUUAAAUUUUUUUAUAAUAUUUAAUAAAAUUAAUAGAUAUACUAAUUAAUAAAUCUUUAACAUUUCAUAAAAAUUUUAAUUUAUUUUUAAAAUUAAAAAUUAAAAAUUAAUGGAUAUACUAACUAAUUAUUUUAAAAAAAAAUUAAAAAAUUAAAAAAAAAUUUAUAUUAAAAAUCCAAAUGAUAAUUUUUCUUUUUCUUUAAUAUGAUAAUAUCUUUUUAUUUUCCACUGCAUAUGCUAACUACUUUUAUUAUCAGAACAUAUUGUGAUAAAGAAAAGGGAAAACCUAACUCAUGAAGUGGAUCGCAACACAAAAAAAAAACCUCAGAAUCCAGAGUAGAAUUGACAUUUAACAGUUGUUAAUAUUUUCUUAUAGUAGAUUGAAUGCUGUUGAAGAUGAUAAUAAAGAAGAAGCAUCUCUGCCUCCAAAUUAUGUCCACAGAAUUUCUCAAGUCCCUACGAAAACUAUGGUGCUCUCUUGAAGAAGCUUCACUGCCAUUUGAGAAGCUUCAAUAAGUUUCUACAUAUGUUCUUUAAAUUAUCUAUUACAACCAAUUAUAAAGCUUCUGAUCUUCUUACAAUCGCCUGUUCUGAAAUAUAAAUAUACAUAUAAUUUGUGUUUUUAAUAUAACUAAAAAUGAAAGAGUUUUAAUUAAAAGUAUGAAGAUUUAGACUUGCUACGAAUUCAAAUAAGUUUAAAUUGAUUUAUUUUUUGAGUCGAUAAUAAUUUGGAUUUAUGGCAGGAACUAUCUAACAGUUGAUGGAUGAAAGUGAUGGCUUCUUUUNNNNNNNNNNNNNNNNNNNNNNNNNNNNNNNNNNNNNNNNNNNNNNNNNNNNNNNNNNNNNNNNNNNNNNNNNNNNNNNNNNNNNNNNNNNNNNNNNNNNNNNNNNNNNNNNNNNNNNNNNNNNNNNNNNNNNNNNNNNNNNNNNNNNNNNNNNNNNNNNAAAAAAAAAAAAAAUCAAAUAGUUUAUUAUUUCUUUCGAUUAUGACAGCUCACCAGAAUCCAUAAUAUUAUUUUUUUUAAUCUGCGAGCAAGUAUGUACCCACGUGAGUCAUAUGGUCAGCGUUGAAUUAUUCUACUACAGGAAAAUAAAAUAAAAAAGAAGCUGGGAGUUGACUCAAGUCUUCUUUCUACUGAAGCUCAUAUAUGUGCCUAUAAAUAUUUCUUCUGGAUUCAGUUACUAAUCACACACUGCAAUCCAAACUCAGAGCUUCUGUAGAAAACAAGAGAAAAGUUUCACUCUUUCUUCCUCAUGGCUCUAUUGGGUAGCAGUUUCUUGCCAAAGCAGAUCAUGCUCCAUUUGCCUAACAAAGUCCUUAAGCCAUUUCAAAGAAAAUAUUCUGUGAACAUGUGGGUGACCAUUUUCCACUUAUUUUCUUCUUUCUAUUAAUUUACUUUCCAAUUUUUCUUUAAUAUCACCAUAGAUAUACAAGAUAUUUAUACGUUUUUGCUUGUUAUAUAUUAACCAGUUUUUUCUUUGUCUGUUAUUAUCAGAAUAUAUUGUGAUAGAUCAAAGGGAAAACCCAGCUCAGGAAGUGGUUCACAACAUAACAGAGUUCUCAGAAUUCAGAGUCAGAAGAGAGUUGAAUUUAAGCAAGAGUUAAUAUGGUCUGGUAGUAGGUCGAAUGCUUUUGAAGAUGAUAAGAAAACUCAAGUAUUCGAUGCUGCCAUUUCUUUGAUGAUCCACUGACAAUCAUCUUCUAAUUCCCAAGUUUUUGUUGCCCUUUGCUUCAUCUGUAAAAGAAAGGAAAAAUGUAAUUCUUCUUCUCAUGUGUUCACCAAAUUUCCCAUUUUUGUUUCUGGUGAGAAAUCAUUUUUGCUGUUAAAACUGUAUUGGAAACUUUUAUGCAUCUCUGUAAUAUUCACACUAUAUUUAAAUUUUUAUUAUUUAUAUAUAACUCAAAAUUUAAAAUUUUUUUAUUAAUGUUAAAUUAAUUUAAAUAAUGAAAUAAUUAUUUACUUAAUUUAUAAUUCACUAUAAAUUUAAAUUCAAUUAUAAUAUUAUCAUCCACUUAUAAAUUUAAACAUAUACCAAUUUUAAAAUUUAUUAACUUUAAAUUAAUUUAAAUAAUAAAAUUAUUAUUUAUUUAAAUUUUAAUUAUAUACUUAGAUAAAUGUAGAUUUUACAUAUUAUAUAUUUAUAAUUAAAAAUUUUAAAUGUUAAGAUUUAUAUUAAAUUCAAUAAAUUAUUUUUAUUAUAAUAAAUAAUUUAAUUCUCCUAAAUUUAAAACUAAUAACAUUAAAAAUUAAUUUCACUUAAUACAGUAAACUUAUAAUAACUGUUAGUUAUACCUAUAUUAAUAUUUAUAUUAUUUUAAUUUAUUCAUAAAAUAUAUUUUUUUAAUUUUUAUUAUAAAUUAUAGAUUAUUAGUCAUUAUAAUAUAUAUAAAAAUAGCCACAAUAAUAAUGAGAUAAAUUAUUGUCAUAUAAUAAUGAGAUAUAUCAAUGUCAUAAAAUUUUAAUUACAAGGGAUUAUCUCAAUUUUUUUCAAGUUGGCGUCUGACGAUCCGCUUUUAUUAUUCAUUCAAUAUAUAUAUAUUUUAAUUAAAAAUAGAAAAAAAUAUAAAAAAAAUGAUGAAUUUUAAUAGUUUUUUAUAAGACGUACAGAAUGAAUUUUAGUAAAUUUUUAUGGGGAUAAAGGAUGAGUCUUACUGUAGUUAAACUAUAAUUUAAUUAGUUAUUAAUUACUCAUUUUAUUAUUUUUUUUAAAUUACUUAUUAUCAUAAUAAAUUUUAUAAUUGUUUCUUUAAUAAUCUUAUUUAAAAAAUUAUAAUUUUUAAUUAUAUAUAUAUAUAUGAAUGAAAACCUUUAUUUUUUAAGUUUAAAAUUAUUAACUAAUUUUUUAAUAUUGUGGUAAUUAUUUUUAUUAUAUAUAUAAUAUCUAAAUUAUAAUUUUUAAUUUUAUAUAUAUAUAUGAAUGAAAACCUAUAUUGUUAUGUGUAAUGAUUUUAUUAUUUAAUUUAAAGUUAAAUUUAUUAAAAAAUCAAUAUACAAAAAAGAUUAAGAUAAUUAUUAUUAAAAUAUAUUUAAAUAUUAAUUAAUUACUAAAUAAAAUUAAUUAAACUCAAAAAUUAAAAAAUUAAAAUCUAAUAAUUUAAUAUUGUGAAAUUAUUUUAUUAUUUUUAUUAUUUUAAUAAUUUUAUUAAUAUUUAAAUUUAUUAUUUUAAUAAUUUUAUUAAUAUUUCAAUUUAUUAUUUUAAUAAUUUUAUCUUAAAAUUUUUUAUUUUUUUAUUAAAAUUUGAAUACUAUAAAGAAUAAUUAAGUUUUAAUAAUUAUCUAUCUAACUACCAAAUAAAAUUAAUUAAAAUAAAAAAUAAAAAAUUUAAACUUCCAUUAAUGUUAGAUAUAUAUAAUUUUAGAUGAAAAAUAUUUAAAAUUAUUUUAGAUGAUAUUUGAAAUAAUUUAUUAAUUUAAAAUUAUUUAAAUAAUAAAAUCAUUAUGUAUUUUUAAAUUUAAAAUAUAAUCAAUAAAUAAACAAUAUAAGAAUUAUAUGUGAAAUGAAAAAUAAAAAAAUAUAUAAAAAUUUAUUAUUAAUAAUAAUUCAAUUAAAUCAAUAUUAAAAUUAUUAGUUUAUUUCUAAAUACAAUAUAUUAUACAAAAUUUUGAUUUUUAAUAUAAACUACUUAUUUUUAUAUUUUUAUAUACAAAUUUUUAAAUUCAUUUUUUAAAAAAAAUAUAAUUUAACUUACAAUAAAAUUUUAAAAGUUAAAAAUUACCUUCAAUUAAUUUAAAUUUAAAUAGACUAAUAAUAUAAUUAAAUAAUUUAAAUAGACUAAUAAUUAAUACUUUAGUGUUUAAAUAUGAAAAGAAUGUGAAAAAUAAAUUUUAAAGAACAUUUUAUGUGAAAUAAAUGAAAUUAAAGAAAGAAAAAGAAGCCUUUUCAAAUGCGUGUUUCUCAUUGAUGGAGGCAUUUCUAUAAGAAUAUUCAAAAUAGACAUGCACGCGUCCGUUUGUAAUUAUUGGAAUUUGUUAGUCAACAUCCAUAAUAUGCACUUUAAUUUAUCAACUUAACAAAAAUUGAACAUUCCUUUGAUUAUGACAGCCCACCAGAAUCCACUUUAUUAUUACUCAAAAGAUUUACUAUUUAAUUUUUAAAUAUUAUUUUUUUAAAUAAAAUAAUUAUUUUAUCUAAUUUCAUUUAUUUUUACUAUUAAAAAUAUUUUAAAAGAUUAAAUUAUUUUUUUUUUAUUUUUUUAAUUUUUAAAAAUUAAAUUAUUAAUGAGAAAAAAAUAAAAAAAUUAAAAAUUAAAAAUUAAAAUUGAGUUAUUAAGGAAGAAAAAGAAAUAGUAAAGAAAUUAAAUUUUAAAAAUUAGAUUAUUGUGGAAGAAGAUGAUGUAAAAAAAUUAAAUUUUAAAAAUUGAAUUAUUGAAAAGGAGAAAGAAAAAAGAAAUUCGGUAAUUCAAAGUAAAAUUAGAUUUAAAAAUUUUUCUUCUUAUUUUUUAUUUGUUUUUAUAAUAAUAUGUAAGAACUGUUUUAUUGAUGUCAUUUAUUUUUAUAAUUAUAUGUAAGAACUGUUUUUAUAAUAACACGUGAAAACUGUUUUGUUGAUGAAAAAGAAAUUUUUUUAAAAAAUAUAAAAAUUAAUUUAUUAAUAAUAAUAAUAUUUAAAAACUAAAUAAUAAAUCUUUCUAUUAUUAUUUUUUAUCAGCAAUCAAGUACUAUCCCACGUGUCAUAAUAUUCAGCAUUGAAGUAUUCUACUCCAGGAAAAUAAAAUAAAACGCAGGGAAUUGACUCAAAGUCUUCUAAUGGAGCUUCAUGAGCCUAUAAAUAUUUAUUCUGGAUUCAGUUUCUUAUCACACAAACACUGCAAUCUAAACUCAGAGCUUAUAGGAAACAAAAAGAGAACUUUCACUCUUAAUUUCUUCCUCAUGGCUCUAUUGGGUAGCAGUUUCUUGCCGCAGCCAACCACGCUCCAUAUACACACCAACGUCCUUAAGCUACUUGAAAGAAAAUCUUCUGUGAACAUGUGAGUGACCAUCUUCCACUGUUGCCUCCUUAUCUUCUUCUUCUUCCUGUUCUUUCUAUUAAUUUACUUUCCAAUUUUUCUUUAAUAUCACCAUAUAUAUUUACACGUUUUUGCUUGUUUAUUAACUAAUUUUUCCUUAAUCUUUUUUAUAAUCAGAAUAUAUUGUGAUAAAUCAAAGGGAAAACCCAGCUCAGGAAGUGGUUCACAACACAACAGAGUUCUCAGAAUUCAGAGCCAGAUGAGAGUUGAAUUUAAACAGGAGCUAUUGUGCUCUGGUAGGAGGUCGAAUGCUUUUGAAGAUGAUAAGAAAACUCAAGUACUCGAUGCUGCCAUUUCUAUGAUGAUCCACUGAUGCUCCUGUUUUGGAGCUUCUGUUCCCUGCUGGGUUCGGGGAUUUGUGUUUUUGUUGGGUUUAUUCCUUGCAUGGGGAUGGCUUACUAUUUUGGUUUGAUUUCACUUUUUGAUACAAGUCUCAAUAGAAGUC
RNAcentral lists this long non-coding RNA (8899 nucleotides) under Manihot esculenta (cassava). RNAcentral describes it as "long non-coding RNA (MESC_LNC003605)". Lineage: Eukaryota; Viridiplantae; Streptophyta; Magnoliopsida; Malpighiales; Euphorbiaceae. The record is from RNAcentral.